Molecule: ribosomal RNA, 567 nt
Filed under: uncultured bacterium
Lineage: Bacteria
Description: partial 16S ribosomal RNA
Rfam family: Bacterial small subunit ribosomal RNA
Source: RNAcentral
UGGGGAAUUUUGGACAAUGGGCGAAAGCCUGAUCCAGCAAUGCCGCGUGUGUGAAGAAGGCCUUCGGGUUGUAAAGCACUUUUGUCCGGAAAGAAAUCCUUGGCUCUAAUACAGUCGGGGGAUGACGGUACCGGAAGAAUAAGCACCGGCUAACUACGUGCCAGCAGCCGCGGUAAUACGUAGGGUGCAAGCGUUAAUCGGAAUUACUGGGCGUAAAGCGUGCGCAGGCGGUUUGCUAAGACCGAUGUGAAAUCCCCGGGCUCAACCUGGGAACUGCAUUGGGUGACUGGCAGGCUAGAGUAUGGCAGAGGGGGGUAGAAUUCCACGUGUAGCAGUGAAAUGCGUAGAGAUGUGGAGGAAUACCGAUGGCGAAGGCAGCCCCCUGGGCCAAUACUGACGCUCAUGCACGAAAGCGUGGGGAGCAAACAGGAUUAGAUACCCCUGGUAGUCCACGCCCUAAAACGAUGUCAACUAGUUGUUGGGGAUUCAUUUCCUUAGUAACGUAGCUAACGCGUGAAGUUGACCGCCUGGGGAGUACGGUCGCAAGAUUAAAACUCAAAGGAAUUG